ACCCCGGGUUAAUUAGGUGCCACCAACCGCGGUAAAUCGUAGGUGGCAAGCGUUUUCCGGAUUUAUUGGGGGUAAAAGGAAGCCCAGGCGGUUUUUUAAAGUUUAAAGUGAAAACCUUUGGGCUCAACCGAAGAAAGUGCAUUGGAAACUGGGAGACUUGAGUCCAGAAGAGGACAGUGGAACUCCAUGGGUAGCGGUGAAAUGCGUAGAUAUAUGGAAGAACACCAGUGGCGAAGGCGGCUGUCUGGUCUGCAACUGACGCUGAGGCUCGAAAGCAUGGGUAGCGAACAGGAUUAGAUACCCUGGUAGUCCAUGCCGUAAACGAUGAUUACUAAGUGUUGGAGGGUUUCCGCCCUUCAGUGCUGCAGCUAACGCAUUAAGUAAUCCGCCUGGGGAGUACGACCGCAAGGUUGAAACUCAAAAGAAUUGACGGGGGCCCGCACAAGCGGUGGAGCAUGUGGUUUAAUUCGAAGCUACGCGAAGAACCUUACCAGGUCUUGACAUCUUCUGACAGUCUAAGAGAUUAGAGGUUCCCUUCGGGGACAGAAUGACAGGUGGUGCAUGGUUGUCGUCAGCUCGUGUCGUGAGAUGUUGGGUUAAGUCCCGCAACGAGCGCAACCCUUAUUACUAGUUGCCAGCAUUAAGUUGGGCACUCUAGUGAGACUGCCGGUGACAAACCGGAGGAAGGUGGGGACGACGUCAAAUCAUCAUGCCCCUUAUGACCUGGGCUACACACGUGCUACAAUGGAUGGUACAACGAGUCGCGAGACCGCGAGGUUAAGCUAAUCUCUUAAAACCAUUCUCAGUUCGGACUGUAGGCUGCAACUCGCCUACACGAAGUCGGAAUCGCUAGUAAUCGCGGAUCAGCAUGCCGCGGUGAAUACGUUCCCGGGCCUUGUACACACCGCCCGUCACACCAUGAGAGUUUGUAACACCCAAAGCCGGUGGGGUAACCUUUAGGAGCUAGCCGUCUAAGGUGACAGAAAUUGGGG
RNAcentral lists this ribosomal RNA (992 nucleotides) under Pediococcus pentosaceus. RNAcentral's name for it is "bacterial SSU rRNA". It matches the Rfam family "Bacterial small subunit ribosomal RNA", at positions 488 to 1480 of the family's 1533-position model. The record is from RNAcentral. Lineage: Bacteria; Bacillati; Bacillota; Bacilli; Lactobacillales; Lactobacillaceae.